GGUGACCAAUGGAAAUGUUGUGCCAGAGGACACAAGGAGGGGCACUUUCAUGCACAUAAAAACAUUAAACCAGAGGCUUUGCUAACAGUUUAUCUUUGCUAACAGUCGGUCUACCAGUUACUUUCCUGAAGCCAUUUUAUCUAAAGAAGUCGGCUGCACCAUGUCUUUUUUAAAGAAAGGACUUGGAGAUAUAAAAACCGAUGAGAUUGUAAAACAAGGAAAGGAAGCUGUGGAGGAGUCUGUAAAUCAGUGCAUUCAAGAAGGGCAAAAAUUUGUUCAAGAAGUGGUUGACAAAGGCACUGAAGCUACUAAAGAUGCUGCAAACAAGGCAGUGACUGAUAUUAAAGCUGGCUUCAAGCAGAAGUGAAAGUCAUUUACUCUUACCUAAUCUAUUGGAUCUGGUUUAAGCAGUAUUUACUCCUUGCAUUUUUAUUUUUCCUAUCAUAGGAGCAUAAUUAAAUCAUUCUGCCACACAUAUGAUUGGUUUUUUUUUUAUAAUGGGUAUAUAAUAAUUUGUUUUAUAUUUGUUUCUCUAAUGCCAGUUGUACAGCUAAAUGUUAGACAAGUUUAUGAGAGAAUAAAAGGUAAAGGUCAAGUAGAAAAUAUCUCUUGAAAAUAAUCAUUGGAUUACUAGAUACAUGUUGUGUGGCUGACAAAUAGUGUAUGCAUGACAUUGCAUUUGCUUAUAAACAGUGAUCAGUUCAUACUGCAGCAUACUGCACUUGCUUUAGUCCAACCAUAUGGCACAUAUAAUCAAUCAUGCAAUUUAUGCAAGGAUAAUAGAUCAUUUUAAAAACAUAAGACGUCAAUCUCCUUAUUUUAUUCAGUGAUACAGUAUCCCAAGAACUUGUUAAUCUUCUUAAACAUGAUCUUGCCAUCCUAGUAAACCAUAGAGCUAGCCUAGAGUAAGAUGUAAUGUUGACCUAAGGUAGAUGGAAAGCAAAGCUUAAGAUAAGAAGCAAAGAGGACCUUAGGAUAAAAAAAUGUAAGGUGUAAGGUAGAAUUGGGCAAAGGUGCAAGAUUUAAGGCAGGCCUAAAGUAAAACACCUAAAGUAUAAGGUAGACAAGAGCAAAAAUGUAACGUCUUUAAAUAUGAAAUCAAACAUAUUACAACAAUAAGGUAGUCCACAGUGUACCCAGAAUCCAUAAAACCUGAUGCAAAUGUUGGUACUAUACUUCCUCCCUUGAAUCCCAGCCAAAAAGCACUACCUGUGCAUGAUUUGACUUGGCAUUACCCCAACUCCAUUAUAUAAAAUCCUCCUAAAAAAAAGUCAUUUUGUUUCCGUUGCAUGUAUGUUUCUUUCAGAUGAAAAAAUAGUAACACUUUAUUAUAAUGUCUAUAAUUGAUAGCAUUUCUAAAAAUAUCCAUAAUGUAACAUACAGGUGUAUGUGGGUUUAUGAUCUAAUAAACUAAGCUCUAAACUGA
Molecule: long non-coding RNA, 1426 nt
Organism: Xenopus tropicalis (tropical clawed frog)
Lineage: Eukaryota; Metazoa; Chordata; Amphibia; Anura; Pipidae
Product: potential lncRNA
Exons: 3
Source: RefSeq, a predicted model, not a curated record